AUUGAACGCUGGCGGCAUGCUUUACACAUGCAAGUCGAACGGCAGCACGGGUGCUUGCACUUGGUGGCGAGUGGCGGACGGGUGAGUAAUGCAUCGGAACGUGUCCUGAAGUGGGGGGAUAACGCAUCGAAAGAUGUGCUAAUACCGCAUAUUCUCUGAGGAGGAAAGUAGGGGAUCGAAAGACCUUAUGCUUUUUGGAGCGGCCGAUGUCUGAUUAGCUAGUUGGUAGGGUAAUGGCUUACCAAGGCGACGAUCAGUAGUUGGUCUGAGAGGACGACCAGCCACACUGGGACUGAGACACGGCCCAGACUCCUACGGGAGGCAGCAGUGGGAAUUUUUGGGACAAUGGGCGCAAGCCUGAUCCAGCAAUGCCGCGUGAGUGAAGAAGG
Molecule: ribosomal RNA, 389 nt
Filed under: uncultured bacterium
Lineage: Bacteria
Description: bacterial SSU rRNA
Rfam family: Bacterial small subunit ribosomal RNA
Source: RNAcentral